CUGACGCGACUUUAUUAGCCUUUUUGGUAGUUUCGUAUCGUCAUUCUGCAACAACUGAAUUUUACAUCUUCUGAUCUUUCUCAGCGUCAACAGAUUAACAAACAGGUUCUUGUCGGUUUAACAUGUCUGGUCUUACUUUAAGAAGUGUUCGCCUAUCUCAGUAAUCUACAACAUAUCAACGUCAAAAUGUCUACUGAAGUUUUGACAAUCCCUUAAAGUUAUGAUGGAGCAUAAGUCAAAGAAAACCCCGCCUGAAGGAAAGACUGAUUAAAAAGUAUUUGAAUUUGUUUAGUUGUGUAUCUUGCUGUUAUCUCCGGUAACCAAUCCAGCACAUCUAAUCUUAUUUUAAGAUUUAAAAAUUGUGAACUUUUGAAAACUUCAGCUAAGCUUGGAAUGGAUUCUUCAAAGGAAAUUAAAAACUUCUGUGAAGUUUGUGGACUGAACUUGAGUGAAGCGAGUAGCCUUAAAAGACACAUACGAACACACACAGGGGAGACGCCGUACCAUUGUUCAACAUGUGGGAAGAGCUUUUCACAGAACUACAGCCUUAAAAUACACAUGCGUACUCACACGGGUGAGCGACCAUUCCAGUGUGAUAUAUGUAAGAAAUCUUUCUCACAGAAUUACAGUUGCAAAAUUCACAAACGAAUACAUACGGGCGAGAGACCUUACCAGUGUCACUUUUGUGAAAAGAAAUUUUCUAAAAAAUCACAGUUAGACUCACAUAUUUUCAUGCACAUGAAAAAAGCUGUAUCCGACUGUGAUUUGCCAGAAAGUCCAAAGACAGACACAUCAACAAAGCUGUCCAGCAAGACAAGUUCAAAAGACGAACAGUACUACUGCUUGAUAUGUGGGAGCGAGUUCUCAGAGGACAAAUCUUUACAAAUCCACAUGAAUUCUCAUGCAAAUAAAGCAAAUUUAGAAGUAUGGAAAGAAAUUUUCUAGUAGAUCAAAAAAAGAAUUCAAAACAUCAGAGAAGUUCAUGGUAUCUGUGGAAAGGUAAAAAUAUAUUGAAUAGCAUACUAGGAAUUGGUCUAACACCAGUUAACAGAAAAAUAUUUAAGUAUGUUUAUGUCUUUUUUCAGAAAAGAUUAACCUGAGAUUAUGUUAUGAGAAGAUAAUAUAUAUAUGUGAAUUAUAUUAUGAGCACAUAUUAAGACGAGGUUAUGAAGAAAUCACUCCAACUUACUAUGUAAUUGUUCUAAGAUGAGAUAGCAGCCAAAGAGCAUCAACAGAGUUUCAGGAAAUGAAUUACACAAGAGUCAUGUCCAUCUUUGAAUAAGGUGUCUUGUAGAUAACAUGUGACUUUUUAAUGUUAUUUUUUACUUUUUAAAGUAACAAACAGAACUUUAAAAAGAAAGCAAUCAUUUUUUU
This is a long non-coding RNA of Octopus sinensis (East Asian common octopus), 1374 nucleotides long. RefSeq lists it as uncharacterized. The record is from RefSeq and is a predicted model, not a curated record. The transcript is spliced from 2 exons. Lineage: Eukaryota; Metazoa; Mollusca; Cephalopoda; Octopoda; Octopodidae.